GAUGAACGCUGGCGGCGUGCUUAACACAUGCAAGUCGAACGAAGCAUUUAGGACAGAUUACUUCGGUUUGAAGUUCUUUAUGACUGAGUGGCGGACGGGUGAGUAACGCGUGGGUAACCUGCCUUGUACUGGGGGAUAGCAGCUGGAAACGGCUGGUAAUACCGCAUAAGCGCACAAUGUUGCAUGACAUGGUGUGAAAAACUCCGGUGGUAUAAGAUGGACCCGCGUCUGAUUAGCUAGUUGGUGAGAUAACAGCCCACCAAGGCGACGAUCAGUAGCCGACCUGAGAGGGUGACCGGCCACAUUGGGACUGAGACACGGCCCAGACUCCUACGGGAAGGAGCAGUGGGGAAUAUUGCACAAUGGAGGAAACUCUGAUGCAGCGACGCCGCGUGAGUGAAGAAGUAAUUCGUUAUGUAAAGCUCUAUCAGCAGGGAAGAUAGUGACGGUACCUGACUAAGAAGCUCCGGCUAAAUACGUG
RNAcentral lists this ribosomal RNA (481 nucleotides) under uncultured bacterium. RNAcentral's name for it is "partial 16S ribosomal RNA". It matches the Rfam family "Bacterial small subunit ribosomal RNA", at positions 28 to 507 of the family's 1533-position model. The record is from RNAcentral.